This 425-nucleotide ribosomal RNA is filed under the name uncultured marine bacterium. RNAcentral's name for it is "partial 16S ribosomal RNA". It matches the Rfam family "Bacterial small subunit ribosomal RNA", at positions 12 to 458 of the family's 1533-position model. The record is from RNAcentral.
UUUGAUCCNUGGCUCAGNUNCGCANCGCGGGCGGCACGCCUAACACAUGCGAAGUCGANCGCANCCCUUGCGGGGCGANCGGCGGACGGGUUAGUAACGCGUGGGAACGUACCCAGAUCUAAAAAAUAGCCUCGGGAAACUGAGAGUAAUACCGUAUACUCCCUUCGGGGGAAAGAUUUAUCGGAUUUGGAUCGGCCCGCGUUAGAUUAGAUAGUUGGUGGGGUAACGGCCUACCAAGUCUACGAUCUAUANCUGGUUUUAGAGGAUGAUCAGCAACACUGGGACUGAGAUCACGGCCCAGACUCCUACGGGAGGCAGCAGUGGGGAAUCUUAGACAAUGGGCGAAAGCCUGAUCUAGNGAUGCCGCGUGAGUGAUGAAGGCCUUAGGGUCGUAAAGCUCUUUCNCCAGGGAUGAGNAGUACAGU